AAUCCUCAGCAAUCGGCGGCGACCCAAGCAGCUACCGAAAUGCCAGCGCCCUCUCCUGUUGAGGUACACGAUCCUUCAACCCAAUCUUCUAAUGUUUGGAUGAUGCUCUUACUAAUUUCGACGCAGGUUACCGGUACGCUAAGCACGCUGCUCGAUCAACCAUUGGUCACCCUCCAAGAAGCCGGGCCGAGCAGAGCGCUGAUUGUCGUUGAGUUUUCUUCUUCCGACGAACCAAUGGUGCUAGUCCCAGAGUCGAGGGUGACGGUCUCACAAAUGCAGAUGGAAAAAAUCCGUUUUAAAGAAGUAAGAGAUCUCCCAACCUUUAUUGGCCGAUUUGUUACCACCAUCGGCUGACUUGUUCUCUUUUCAUCUACCAUUUUACAGGAACAAGACACCCCUAAUAACAGCCUCUUCUCGUUUGCGGUCGUACUUUCUGAUGACGAGGAAGUCGCUUCCCAUUAGGUUACUUUGAGCUCUGUCCCUGACGAUGUCCGCGCC
This 498-nucleotide long non-coding RNA is filed under the name Setaria italica (foxtail millet). RNAcentral's name for it is "long non-coding RNA (SITA_LNC002069)". The record is from RNAcentral. Lineage: Eukaryota; Viridiplantae; Streptophyta; Magnoliopsida; Poales; Poaceae.